CUACGGGGGGCAGCAGUGGGGAAUAUUGGACAAUGGGGGAAACCCUGAUCCAGCAAUGCCGCGUGUGUGAAGAAGGCCUGCGGGUUGUAAAGCACUUUCGGUUGGGAGGACUGCUUCUAGCACUAAUAUUGUUGGAAGUUGACAUUACCUUCAGAAGAAGCACCGGCUAACUCCGUGCCAGCGGCCGCGGUAAUACGGAGGGUGCAAGCGUUAAUCGGAAUUACUGGGCGUAAAGCGCGCGUAGGCGGCUAGAUCAGUCGGGUGUGAAAGCCCCGGGCUUAACCUGGGAACUGCAUCCGAUACUGUCUAGCUUGAGUACAGGAGAGGAGAGUGGAAUUCCACAUGUAGCGGUGAAAUGCGUAGAUAUGUGGAGGAACACCAAUGGCGAAGGCAGCUCUCUGGCCUGAUACUGACGCUGAGGUGCGAAAGCGUGGGGAGCAAACAGGAUUAGAUACCCCAGUAGUC
Molecule: ribosomal RNA, 465 nt
Filed under: uncultured bacterium
Lineage: Bacteria
Description: partial 16S ribosomal RNA
Rfam family: Bacterial small subunit ribosomal RNA
Source: RNAcentral